CAGCAGCCGCGGUAAUGCGUAGGUCCCGAGCGUUGUCCGGAUUUAUUGGGCGUAAAGCGAGCGCAGGCGGUUAGAUAAGUCUGAAGUUAAAGGCUGUGACUUAACCAUAGUACGCUUUGGAAACUGUUUAACUUGAGUGCAAGAGGGGAGAGUGGAAUUCCAUGUGUAGCGGUGAAAUGCGUAGAUAUAUGGAGGAACACCGGUGGCGAAAGCGGCUCUCUGGCUUGUAACUGACGCUGAGGCUCGAAAGCGUGGGGAGCAAACAGGAUUAGAUACCCCCGUAGUCCCUGUCUCUUAUACA
This 301-nucleotide ribosomal RNA is filed under the name uncultured bacterium. RNAcentral describes it as "partial 16S ribosomal RNA". It matches the Rfam family "Bacterial small subunit ribosomal RNA", at positions 509 to 808 of the family's 1533-position model. The record is from RNAcentral.